This 218-nucleotide ribosomal RNA is filed under the name Olea europaea subsp. europaea. Its description in RNAcentral is "SSU_rRNA_eukarya". It matches the Rfam family "Eukaryotic small subunit ribosomal RNA", at positions 1247 to 1478 of the family's 1831-position model. Lineage: Eukaryota; Viridiplantae; Streptophyta; Magnoliopsida; Lamiales; Oleaceae. The record is from RNAcentral.
ACUUUUACUGAGAGCUCUUUCUAGAUUCUACGGGUGGUGGUGCAUGGCCAUUCUUAGUUGGUGAAGCAAUUUAUUUGAUUAAUUUGGUUAACGAACGAGACCUCAGUCUCCUAACUAGCUAUGCCAAUGUAACCCUUUGUGGCCAGCUUCUUAGAGGGACUACGACCUUUUAGGUCGUGGAAGUUUGAGAAAAUAAUAGGUCUAUGGUGCCCUUAGAU